This 74-nucleotide transfer RNA is filed under the name Ictidomys tridecemlineatus (thirteen-lined ground squirrel). RNAcentral's name for it is "Spermophilus tridecemlineatus (thirteen-lined ground squirrel) tRNA". It matches the Rfam family "tRNA". Rfam says of the family: Transfer RNA (tRNA) molecules are approximately 80 nucleotides in length. Their secondary structure includes four short double-helical elements and three loops (D, anti-codon, and T loops). The record is from Rfam by way of RNAcentral. Lineage: Eukaryota; Metazoa; Chordata; Mammalia; Rodentia; Sciuridae.
GGGGAUAUGGCUCAGUUGGUAGAGUUCUUGCCUCACAUGCAUAAGGCCCUGGGUUCAAAUCCUCAGUACUGCCC